This 627-nucleotide ribosomal RNA is filed under the name Triticum aestivum (bread wheat). RNAcentral describes it as "partial small subunit ribosomal RNA". The record is from RNAcentral. Lineage: Eukaryota; Viridiplantae; Streptophyta; Magnoliopsida; Poales; Poaceae.
AUGGGCGCGCACACCCGGUCCAUGAGCUGGUACAUGGGGCAGACGGGCUCGCAGGCGCCGUCGAGCGCGGAGAACGGGGCGCAGCGCGCGCUCAGCAGCGGCGGCGGCGGCGACGCCAGCUUCGACACCAACAUGGUGAUCAUCCUCGCCGCGCUGCUCUUCGCCCUGCUCUUCGCGCUCGGGCUCAACUCCCUCGCGCGGUACGUCAUCCGGUGGGCGCGGCGCGCGUCGCUGGAGGCGUCGGGCGGCGGCGGCGGGGAGCUGGACGGCGCGGCGUCGGCGGGCGGGCAGGGCGGGCUCAAGAAGCGCACGCUCAGGAGCCUCCCCAUCGAGGUGUACGGUGCGUGCGCGGCCGCGGGCGGGGGCGCCGCGCCGGCGGACGACGUCUGCGCCAUCUGCCUCGGCGAGUUCGAGGACGGCGAGAAGGUGCGCGUGCUGCCGCGCUGCGGCCACGAGUUCCACGUCCGCUGCGUCGACACCUGGCUCGUCUCGCACGACUCCUGCCCCACGUGCCGGGACUCGGUGCUCAGCGGCGCGGCCGCCGCGCCCAAGGCCGCCGCCGGGCGCAGCAGCGGGCGGCCCGGGAGCGCCGACGCCGCGGCCGUCACGGUGGUCAUCGCCGCGUGA